AAUAGAUACCCCGGUAGUCCACGCCGUAAACGAUGGAUGCUAGCUAUUGGGGGGAAUCGACCCCCUCCGAAGCGAAGCUAACGCGUUAAGCAUCCCGCCUGAGUAGUACGAGCGCAAGCUUAAAACUCAAAGGAAUUGACGGGGGCCCGCACAAGCGGUGGAGCGUGUGGUUUAAUUCGAUGGUAAACGAAGAACCUUACCAAGGUUUGACAUCCCGGUAGCCGUUCUCCGAAAGGAGAAUUUCAUUUAGUUGGACCGGUGACAGGUGAUGCAUGGCCGUCGUCAGCUCGUGUCGUGAGAUGUUGGGUUAAGUCCCGCAACGAGCGCAACCCUUAUGAUUUAGUUGGAUUUUUCUAAACAGACUGCCCUGGUAACAGGGAGGAAGGAGGGGAUGAUGUCAGGUCAGUAUUUCCCUUACACCUUGGGCGACACACGCGCUACAAUGGCCGGUACAAUGGGCAGCUAAGCCGCGAGGUGGAGCAAAUCCCAUCAAAGCCGGUCCCAGUUCGGAUUGCAGGCUGAAACCCGCCUGCAUGAAGCCGGAAUCGCUAGUAACC
RNAcentral lists this ribosomal RNA (557 nucleotides) under uncultured bacterium. Its description in RNAcentral is "bacterial SSU rRNA". It matches the Rfam family "Bacterial small subunit ribosomal RNA", at positions 777 to 1343 of the family's 1533-position model. The record is from RNAcentral.